Molecule: long non-coding RNA, 614 nt
Filed under: Gossypium barbadense (sea-island cotton)
Lineage: Eukaryota; Viridiplantae; Streptophyta; Magnoliopsida; Malvales; Malvaceae
Description: long non-coding RNA (GBAR_LNC003661)
Source: RNAcentral
AAGACGCGGCGUUUCCCGUCGAUGACAAUCGCUCGGUGAUCGUACGUGACGGUGGAUGCAAACGACGUCGUUACUAUUACCAAACAAAUAAGCAACACCAGAAUCUCUGUUCUUCUCCUCAUUUCUGGUAACUUACAAAAACACAGCCACACACGUAAAGUUCCUCCCUUUUUUUUCUCUUUAUCAAAAGAAAAAUGUAGCUUCUUGAUUGUAACAAUUCUAUUGCUUUUGCCUUUGGGUUGAUGCCUUUUUCCACUUUUCUUCCCUUUCUUCUGAUAAUAUUUGUUGCUUGGCCGCUUUGUGUAACAAAAUCAACACUUUAAGCUACCAGAGAACAGCAGUGCACGUCACUGCUAUUUCACCAUUUUAUCAUCAUCAUCUUCUUGUUGUUGUUUAAUUAUUAAUAAUAUACUCUCUCUUUUUGUUGUUUUGUUUUUUAAAUGACAAUAAUGGCGUUUUUAUAAGCCUUUUGCUGCAGUGGGGAGCAGUAAUAGUAGUAAAAGCCAGCCAGUAGCUACGGGCAGUGAAGAAGAAGUGAAUGAAGUACUGGAGAAAGAUAUUAUCAAGUGCUGCUUCAUCAUAUGGCAAGGAUAAUGCACCUGCAUUUCUCUUCG